This 794-nucleotide ribosomal RNA is filed under the name uncultured bacterium. Its description in RNAcentral is "bacterial SSU rRNA". It matches the Rfam family "Bacterial small subunit ribosomal RNA", at positions 8 to 795 of the family's 1533-position model. The record is from RNAcentral.
AGAGUUUGAUCCUGGCUCAGAUUGAACGCUGGCGGAAUGCUUUACACAUGCAAGUCGAACGGCAGCACGGGAGCUUGCUCCUGGUGGCGAGUGGCGAACGGGUGAGUAAUGCGUCGGAACGUACCGAGUAAUGGGGGAUAACGCAGCGAAAGUUGUGCUAAUACCGCAUACGCCCCGAGGGGGAAAGCAGGGGAUCGCAAGACCUUGCGUUAUUCGAGCGGCCGACGUCUGAUUAGCUAGUUGGUGGGGUAAUGGCCCACCAAGGCGACGAUCAGUAGCGGGUCUGAGAGGAUGAUCCGCCACACUGGGACUGAGACACGGCCCAGACUCCUACGGGAGGCAGCAGUGGGGAAUUUUGGACAAUGGGGGCAACCCUGAUCCAGCCAUUCCGCGUGAGUGAAGAAGGCCUUCGGGUUGUAAAGCUCUUUCAGCUGGAACGAAACGGUACGCUCUAACAUAGCGUGCUAGUGACGGUACCAGCAGAAGAAGCACCGGCUAACUACGUGCCAGCAGCCGCGGUAAUACGUAGGGUGCGAGCGUUAAUCGGAAUUACUGGGCGUAAAGCGUGCGCAGGCGGAUUGUUAAGCAAGAUGUGAAAUCCCCGGGCUUAACCUGGGAAUGGCAUUUUGAACUGGCAGUCUAGAGUGUGUCAGAGGGGGGUGGAAUUCCACGUGUAGCAGUGAAAUGCGUAGAGAUGUGGAGGAACACCGAUGGCGAAGGCAGCCCCCUGGGAUAACACUGACGCUCAUGUACGAAAGCGUGGGUAGCAAACAGGAUUAGAUACCCUGGUAGUC